This 257-nucleotide ribosomal RNA is filed under the name uncultured bacterium. RNAcentral describes it as "partial 16S ribosomal RNA". It matches the Rfam family "Bacterial small subunit ribosomal RNA", at positions 524 to 776 of the family's 1533-position model. The record is from RNAcentral.
UACGGGGGGAGCAAGCGUUGUUCGGAUUUACUGGGCGUAAAGGGCGCGUAGGCGGCCACCGCAAGUCGAUUGUGAAAUCUCCGGGCUUAACCCGGAAAGGUCAACCGAUACUGCGGGGCUAGAGUGCAGAAGGGGCAACUGGAAUUCUCGGUGUAGCGGUGAAAUGUGUAGAUAUAUGGAAGAACAUCAAUAACGGCGAAGGCAGUUAACUAUUCUGUUACUGACGUUGAGGCACGAAAGCGUGGGGAGCAAAAAGG